AUGCACGCUGGCGGCGUGCCUAAUCCCUGCAAGUCGGGCGAACAGAUGAGGAGCUUGCUCCUCUGACGUUAGCGGCGGACGGGUGAGUAACACGUGGAUAACCUACCUAUAAGACUGGGAUAACUUCGGGAAACCGGAGCUAAUACCGGAUAAUAUAUUGAACCGCAUGGUUCAAUAGUGAAAGACGGUUUUGCUGUCACUUAUAGAUGGAUCCGCGCCGCAUUAGCUAGUUGGUAAGGUAACGGCUUACCAAGGCAACGAUGCGUAGCCGACCUGAGAGGGUGAUCGGCCACACUGGAACUGAGACACGGUCCAGACUCCUACGGGAGGCAGCAGUAGGGAAUCUUCCGCAAUGGGCGAAAGCCUGACGGAGCAACGCCGCGUGAGUGAUGAAGGUCUUCGGAUCGUAAAACUCUGUUAUUAGGGAAGAACAAAUGUGUAAGUAACUAUGCACGUCUUGACGGUACCUAAUCAGAAAGCCACGGCUAACUACGUG
RNAcentral lists this ribosomal RNA (496 nucleotides) under uncultured bacterium. RNAcentral's name for it is "partial 16S ribosomal RNA". It matches the Rfam family "Bacterial small subunit ribosomal RNA", at positions 29 to 507 of the family's 1533-position model. The record is from RNAcentral.